RNAcentral lists this ribosomal RNA (1326 nucleotides) under Triticum aestivum (bread wheat). Its description in RNAcentral is "partial small subunit ribosomal RNA". Lineage: Eukaryota; Viridiplantae; Streptophyta; Magnoliopsida; Poales; Poaceae. The record is from RNAcentral.
AUGGAGCACUCUGAAGGGCCUGAAGGAGAUGGCACCGAGCAUCUAUCUCAAGCAAUAAACACGCAUCCUUUCAAAUGCCGGGGAACAUACCGGCCCGACUACCGGAGGAAAUGGAGGCGGCUGUUGGCGCGGCUAGCUGCAGGCUUCUGGGGCAAGGCACUAGCAAAGCUGUCCAACGAACUGGUGGCGGCGUUUGUGGCCAGCUCCGAGCUCGGCCACGACUUCCAGACCAUGAGGCGCCGGCUGCUGCUCAUGCAAGGGCUACUCCAUGCAGCCCAGGACAGGGAUGUGAACAACGACCCUGGCCAGGACGAGGCAGAGGAUGCGCUGGAUGAGAUCCACUACUUGAUGAUCCAGGACCAGCUCGACGGCACCAGCGAGGCUGCCGUCCAGAUGGGCGAUGUCCUCCGCCGUCAUGCUCUCUAUGGAUGCCAUGCUACUCGCCACACCAUCGCCACGCCCGCCACCCGUGGACGAAGAACCACGGUGCUGGCCAGCCGUGUAGGCAUCGUAGCCGUCAUCCCCCCACUGACCCCGGGGCGCAGCCACAGUACCGUUGGACUGCGACGACGGAGACGGGCGAGCAACGACGUGGGGUGGAGGAGCCGGUCUAGGCAUCGGACCCGAAGGCACGGGUGGCCUUGGUGGCGCGGCCCCCCGGCCCGCAGCUGCGACCGCAGCACCGCCUUGAGCCACCGGCCGAGGACCGGAGCCCGGUCCGCCACGCCCGCCCGACGGCAAGGCCGGAGCCGGCGGCCUCCCCACGGGCGCCCCGUCAGCAUAGCGCGCCGCAUCAGGGCCACCCGACCCGCGUCCCGCAGCGAACCCCAGGAUGAUAUUGUAUCUGCUCAUCUCACUCCCUCAACGACGCGCUCACUGCGGGCUGCCACUUCCUGCACACAAAACGAGGCCACCAUCCCGUUCCUCACCGACGUGAUGCGCUCCACGGGGUUGUCAUGUGCUGUCACAUCCUCGAUCGAGGCAACCGCACCAUCUGCCUUUGGUGGUGCGCCCGCCCUGCUAGCUCUUCAACUCCUGCACGGCAUAUUGCCAUGUCACCGGCGUAAUUUGGGGCCGACACCAAGCUGCUACCAGUGCCUACUUAGGAACAUCUAUCUGAACCUGACUGAAAAUUCAAAUGGCACCAUAUUCAGUGUCCAGGAAUCCGGGGUCGUUGCUGCAAAGCGGUACGCCAGUACCUCAUCCGAUCCUGCGCCUCGGGUUCGCACAUCAGCUCUGCUUACUCUGCCUCCUACGCAAGACAACCUCACCAUCUUCGACCCCGGCACUGCCUGGGCCCAUAUCACCGGCGCAACUUGGGGCUGA